Molecule: ribosomal RNA, 511 nt
Filed under: uncultured bacterium
Lineage: Bacteria
Description: bacterial SSU rRNA
Rfam family: Bacterial small subunit ribosomal RNA
Source: RNAcentral
GAUUAUGGCUCAGGAUGAACGCUAGCGACAGGCUUAACACAUGCAAGUCGAGGGGCAUCACGGGAGUAGCAAUACAACUGGUGGCGGCCGGCGCACGGGUGAGUAACGUGUAUGCAACCUACCUAUCAGAGGGGAAUAACCCGGCGAAAGUCGGACUAAUACCGCAUAAAACAGGGGCACCGCAUGGUGAUAUUUGUUAAAGAAAUUCGCUGAUAGAUGGGCAUGCGUUCCAUUAGGUAGUUGGUGAGGUAACGGCUCACCAAGCCGACGAUGGAUAGGGAACUGAGAGGUUGGUCCCCCACACUGGUACUGAGACACGGACCAGACUCCUACGGGAGGCAGCAGUGAGGAAUAUUGGUCAAUGGGCGGGAGCCUGAACCAGCCAAGUCGCGUGAAGGAAGAAGGAUCUAUGGUUCGUAAACUUCUUUUGCAGGGGAAUAAAGUGCAGGACGUGUCCUGUUUUGUAUGUACCCUGAGGAUAAGGAUCGGCUAACUCCGUGCCAGCAGCCGC